UUCAAAAAGAUACUUAAAUGUUGUGAGCAACAUCUCCGAAACUUACAAUUAUUAUACAUUUUUUGAGCCUUUUAUUCCUUAUCUAUAAAAUUCAGUCUUAUCUUCUGAGAUAUUGAAGAAAACCCGAUAGAAAAAGCAUACGUUGAGAGCUCAACAUGCUUUGGUUUUGAAGCUGAGGAUCUCUCUUAAAGCAACUUAUCUAUUGCUAGGGAAAGAG
Molecule: long non-coding RNA, 217 nt
Filed under: Helianthus annuus (common sunflower)
Lineage: Eukaryota; Viridiplantae; Streptophyta; Magnoliopsida; Asterales; Asteraceae
Description: hypothetical non coding rna
Source: RNAcentral